RNAcentral lists this unclassified non-coding RNA (381 nucleotides) under uncultured Actinomycetes bacterium. RNAcentral describes it as "uncultured actinobacterium contains 16S-23S intergenic spacer region". The record is from RNAcentral. Lineage: Bacteria; Bacillati; Actinomycetota; Actinomycetes.
UCCGAGUUGACCCCGGCGGUCUCCCGUGAGUCCCCAGCACCACAAGGGCCUGCUGGCAACACGGGACAAGGGUUGCGCUCGUUGCGGGACUUAACCCAACAUCUCACGACACGAGCUGACGACAGCCAUGCACCACCUGUACACCGACCCAAAGGGGGCGACCAUCUCUGGCCGUUUCCGGCGUAUGUCAAGCCUUGGUAAGGUUCUUCGCGUUGCGUCGAAUUAAGCCACAUGCUCCGCUGCUUGUGCGGGCCCACGUCAGUUCCUUUGAGUUUUAACCUUGCGGCCGUACUCCCCAGGCGGGAUGCUUAAUGCGUUAGCUGCGCCACCGACAAGCAAGCUUGCCGACGGCUAGCAUCCAUCGUUUACGGCGUGGACUAC